AGAAUCAACGCUGGCGGCGUGCCUAACACAUGCAAGUCGCACGAGAAAGGGUAGCAAUACCUGAGUAAAGUGGCGCACGGGUGAGUAACACGUGAAUCAUCUACCUCCGAAUGGGGAAUAACUGAGAGAAAUCUUAGCUAAUACCGCAUAAUACCUACGGGUCAAAGCAGCAAUGCGUUUGGAGAGGAGUUCGCGGCAGAUUAGCUAGUUGGCGGGGUAAUGGCCCACCAAGGCGAUGAUCUGUAUCCGGCCUGAGAGGGCGCACGGACACACUGGAACUGAAACACGGUCCAGACUCCUACGGGAGGCAGCAGUGGGGAAUUUUGCGCAAUGGGGGAAACCCUGACGCAGCAACGCCGCGUGGAGGACGAAAUCCCUUGGGAUGUAAACUCCUUUCGAUAGGGAAGAUAAUGACGGUACCUAUAGAAGAAGCCCGGCUAACUUCGUGCCAGCAGCCGC
This 459-nucleotide ribosomal RNA is filed under the name uncultured bacterium. Its description in RNAcentral is "SSU rRNA". It matches the Rfam family "Bacterial small subunit ribosomal RNA", at positions 26 to 518 of the family's 1533-position model. The record is from RNAcentral.